CUAGGUUACUGAUUAGUAAGCAACUCCCUUCACCUGGUUGUCUAGGUAACUAAUUAGUAAGGAACUCCCCUCACCUGGUUGUCUAGGUUACUAAUUAGUAAGCAACUACCUUCACCUGGUUGUCUGGGUAACUAAUUAGUAAGGAACUCCCCUCACCUGGUUGUCUAGGUUACUAAUUAGUAAGGAACUGCCCUCACCUGGUUGUCUAGGCUACUAAUUAGUAAGGAACUGCCCUCACCUGGUUGUCUAGGCUACUAAUUAGUAAGGACCUGCCCUCACCUGGUUGUCUAGGCUACUAAUUAGUAAGGAACUGCCCUCACCUGGUUGUCUAGGCUACUAAUUAGUAAGGAACUGCCCUCACCUGGUUGUCUAGGCUACUAAUUAGUAAGGAACUGCCCUCACCUGGUUGUCUAGGCUACUAAUAGUAAGGAACUGCCCUCACCUGGUUGUCUAGGCUACUAAUUAGUAAGGAACUGCCCUCACCUGGUUGUCUAGGUUACUAAUUAGUAAGGAACUGCCCUCACCUGGUUGUCUAGGCUACUAAUUAGUAAGGAACUCCCCUCACCUGGUUGUCUAGGCUACUAAUUAGUAAAGAACUGCCAUCACCUGGUUGUCAAGGCUACUAAUUAGUAAGGAACUGCCCUCACCUGGUUGUCUAACUCUUUGAGAGGAAACACCAGACCUGACAUUAGACAGUCAUUCAUAAGGGAGGGAGGGAGAAACAUUUUAAGACUGUUGGGACUAGCUUUUAGCUAGUGAGUCAUGACGUCAUGAUACCCUCAGUGUUAGAGACAGCAUCUAUUGAGAGAACCCUGCUGAAAACUAGUGAGUCAUGACACCCUCAGUGUUAGAGACAGCAUCUAUUGAGAGAACCCUGCUGAAGACUAGUGAGUCAUGACACCCUCAGUGUUAGAGACAGCAUCUAUUGAGAGAACCCUGCUGAAGACUAGUGAGUCAUGACAUCAUGAUGCCCUCAGUGUUAGACAACAUCUAUUGAGAGAACCCUGCUGAAGACUAGUGAGUCAUGACAUCAUGUUUCCCUCAGUGUUAGACAGCAUCUAUUGAGAGAACCCUGCUGAAGACUAGUGAGUCAUGACGUCAUGAUGCCCUCAGUGUUAGAGACAGCAUCUAUUGAGAGAACCCUGCUGAAGACUAGUGAGUCAUGACAUCAUGAUGCCCUCAGUGUUAGACAACAUCUAUUGAGAGAACCCUGCUGAAGACUAGUGAGUCAUGACAUCAUGAUGCCCUCAGUGUUAGAGACAGCAUCUAUUGAGAGAACCCUGCUGAAGACUAGUGAGUCAUGACAUCAUGAUGCCCUCAGUGUUAGAGACAGCAUCUAUUGAGAGAACCCUGCUGAAGACUAGUGAGUCAUGACAUCAUGAUGCCCUCAGUGUUAGACAGCAUCUAUUGAGAGAACCCUGCUGAAGACUAGUGAGUCAUGACAUCAUGAUGCCCUCAGUGUUAGAGACAGCAUCUAUUGAGAGAACCCUGCUGAAGACUAGUGAGUCAUGACAUCAUGAUGCCCUCAGUGUUAGAGACAGCAUCUAUUGAGAGAACCCUGCUGAAGACUAGUGAGUCAUGACAUCAUGAUGCCCUCAGUGUUAGACAGCAUCUAUUGAGAGAACCCUGCUGAAGACUAGUGAGUCAUGACGUCAUGAUGCCCUCAGUGUUAGACAGCAUCUAUUGAGAGAACCCUGCUGAAGACUAGUGAGUCAUGACGUCAUGAUGCCCUCAGUGUUAGAGACAGCAUCUAUUGAGAGAACCCUGCUGAAGACUAGUGAGUCAUGACAUCAUGAUGCCCUCAGUGUUCGAGACAGCAUCUAUUGAGAGAACCCUGCUGAAGACUUGAACUCAGGCUAAGAUGCUAUUUAUGAAACGAAAUGUCGUGUAUAUAGAAAUGCAUUCCUCAAUGGUGUUAUUAUUGUUAAAGCUUUAUUUAACUUGGCAAGUCAGUUAAGAACAAAUUCUUAUUUACAAAGACGGCCUACAGGGGCAGAACGACUGAUUUUAACCUUGUUCAGCUCGGGGAUUCGAUCCAUCAACUUGCCCAUCUCUCUAACCACUAGGCUACCUGCCUCCCAAGCAGUAUGGUUGAUUCACUAUCAGGUUUUCAUUCUGAGUGUUAAAUUUAUUGAAUUGAUCUGAUGAGUAUUGUAGAUGUGUGGAAACAGGAGAGGCAGGGCUGUGGUCAGAGGAUGUUGCUGACAGACAGAAGGUUUUAGAUGUGGGGAAACAGGAGAGGCAGGGCUGUGGUCAGGAUGUUGCUGACAGACAGAAGGUUGUAGACGUGUGGAAACAGGAGAGGCAGGGCUGUGGUCAGAGGAUGUUGCUGACAGACAGAAGGUUGUAGAUGUGUGGAAACAGGAGAGGCAGGGCUGUGGUCAGAGGAUGUUGCUGACAGGCAGAAGGUUGUAGAUGUGUGGAAACAGGAGAGGCAGGGCUGUGGUCAGAGGAUGUUGCUGACAGGCAGAAGGCUGUAGAUGUGUGGAAACAGGAGAGGCAGGGCUGUGGUCAGAGGAUGUUGCUGACAGACAGAAGGUUGUAGACGUGUGGAAACAGGAGAGGCAGGGCUGUGGUCAGAGGAUGUUGCUGACAGAC
This is a long non-coding RNA of Oncorhynchus tshawytscha (Chinook salmon), 2598 nucleotides long. NCBI's taxonomy places the organism in Eukaryota, Metazoa, Chordata, Actinopteri, Salmoniformes, Salmonidae. The record is from Ensembl.